RNAcentral lists this ribosomal RNA (484 nucleotides) under uncultured bacterium. Its description in RNAcentral is "partial 16S ribosomal RNA". It matches the Rfam family "Bacterial small subunit ribosomal RNA", at positions 30 to 507 of the family's 1533-position model. The record is from RNAcentral.
AUUGAACGCUGGCGGCAUGCUUUACACAUGCAAGUCGAACGGCAGCGCGGGCUUCGGCCUUGCGGCGUGUGGCGAACGGGUGUGUAAUGCAUGGGCAUGUGCCCAGUAGUGGGGGAUAGCACGGCGAAAUCUGGUUUUAUACCGCAUGAGAUCUGAGGGUGAACGGGGGGGACAGAAACACCUCUUGCUAUUGGAGCGGUCGAUGUCGGAUUAGCUAGUUGGUGGGGUAAAGGCUUACCAAGGCGACGAUCCGUAGCUGGUCUGAGAGGACGACCAGCCACACUGGGACUGAGACACGGCCCAGACUCCUACGGGAGGCAGCAGUGGGGAAUUUUGGACAAUGGGGGCAACCCUGAUCCAGCCAUGCCGCGUGCGGGAAGAAGGCCUUCGGGUUGUAAACCGCUUUUGUUCGGGAAGAAAUCCUCUGGGCUAAUACCCCGGGGGAAUGACGGUACCUGAAGAAUAAGCACCGGCUAACUACGUG